This 301-nucleotide ribosomal RNA is filed under the name uncultured bacterium. Its description in RNAcentral is "partial 16S ribosomal RNA". It matches the Rfam family "Bacterial small subunit ribosomal RNA", at positions 509 to 809 of the family's 1533-position model. The record is from RNAcentral.
CAGCGCCGCGGUAAUACAGAGGCCUCAAGCGUUGUUCGGAUUCAUUGGGCGUAAAGGGUGCGUAGGUGGCUUGGUAAGUUGAAGGUGAAAUCUCGGGGCUUAACCCCGAAACUGCCUUCAAUACUGCUAGGCUCGAGGACUGUAGAGGAGAAUGGAAUUCACGGUGUAGCAGUGAAAUGCGUAGAUAUCGUGAGGAAGACCAGUGGCGAAGGCGAUUCUCUGGGCAGUUCCUGACACUGAGGCACGAAGGCCAGGGGAGCAAACGGGAUUAGAUACCCGCGUAGUCCCUGUCUCUUAUACA